RNAcentral lists this unclassified non-coding RNA (233 nucleotides) under Ascomycota sp. RNAcentral describes it as "partial contains small subunit ribosomal RNA, internal transcribed spacer 1, and 5.8S ribosomal RNA". The stretch from base 1 to 47 matches the Rfam family "Eukaryotic small subunit ribosomal RNA", at positions 1785 to 1831 of the family's 1831-position model. Lineage: Eukaryota; Fungi; Ascomycota. The record is from RNAcentral.
AAAGUCGUAACAAGGUUUCCGUAGGUGAACCUGCGGAAGGAUCAUUAUAGAGAACUGCCCCCGGGCAAAAAUCUCCCACCCUUUGUCUAUCAUGCCCUUGUUGCUUUGGCAGGCCCGCCCUAGGGCCGCCGGCUCCGGCUGGCCAGCGCCUGCCAGGGGACCACAACUCGAGUUAGUGUUGUCUGAGUACCAUUUAAUAGUUAAAACUUUCAACAACGGAUCUCUUGGUUCUG